Molecule: long non-coding RNA, 1560 nt
Filed under: Salmo salar (Atlantic salmon)
Lineage: Eukaryota; Metazoa; Chordata; Actinopteri; Salmoniformes; Salmonidae
Description: lncRNA (ENSSSAG00000113136.1)
Source: RNAcentral
GUAGGGGGUAGGGUUAACACUAGGUACACAUCCUGUAUGGUAGGGGUUAGGGUUAGAGUUAACACUAGGUACACACCCUGUAUGGUAGGGGUUAGGGUUAACACUAGGUACACACCCUGUAUGGUAGGGGUUAGGGUUAACACUAGGUACACACCCUGUAUGGUAGGGGUUAGUGUUAACACUAGGUACACAUCCUGUAUGGUAGGGGUUAGGGUUAGAGUUAACACUAGGUACACACCCUGUAUGGUAGGGGUUAUAGUUAACACUAGGUACACAUCCUGUAUGGUAGGGGUUAGAGUUAACACUAGGUACACACCCUGUAUGGUAGGGGUUAGAGUUAACACUAGGUACACACCCUGUAUGGUAGGGGUUAGGGUUAACACUAGGUACACACCCUGUAUGGUAGGGGUUAUAGUUAACACUAGGUACACACCCUGUAUGGUAGGGGUUAGAGUUAACACUAGGUACACACCCUGUAUGGUAGGGGUUAUAGUUAACACUAGGUACACAUCCUGUAUGGUAGGGGUUAGGGUUAACACUAGGUUAUACAUUACAUACAGUACUACUACCACUGUCUUUACCAUCACACACACACACACUCUGUCCUUACUGACACACUCAAUCACACACAUACACACUAACACACUCUGUCCUUACUGAGACACACUCACACGCUCACACAAACUCUAUCCUUACUGACACUCACACACACACACACACACACACACACACACACACACACACACACACACACACACACACACAUCAAUAUAGAGCCCUCCUUCCCUCUCACCUGUCUGUCUAAGGGGUUGGUAGGGGUUGACGGUAUGGGUGAAGAUAUGGAUGAGGGUGGGGUUGAGGGUGAAGGUUGGAUGGGGGUGUCUAUUGGAGGUGUCUGUCUCCCCCCUUCCUCCACAUCCCCCAAUAGCUCCACUCUCCCCUCCUCCCCUCCAUCUCUCCCCUCCUCCCCUCCAUCUCUCCCCUCCUCCUCUCCUUUCUGUCGUCUGAGAGUCUCUAUGUGUCUGUUCCUCCUCCUCUCGUCUCGAACACUGAGCAUCUCCUCAAAGUCCAGCUGGAGCAGCUCCGCACUGGAACACACACACAUAAUGAACUGCUGUUCUCCCUGGCAUCUCUACAGAGAAAAACGCACUUUGAAGUGUGUGUGUGUUUGUGUGUGUGUGUAUGUGAGCGUGUGAUAACAGGUGGUUGACCUCUGACCUGGUGAUGCUUGGAGCGUUGUCAUUGGUGGGUUGGUUUCCGGGGGUGUGUCGGGGAGAAAGGUCGUUUUCAGGUGAAAGGUCAUUGUCGGGGUCAGUGCUGCUAUAGCUCCUCUCCUUCCUCCUCCUCUCCCUUUCCACUUCCUCUUCAUCCUCCACUGUCCACUGGCGGGCCAGACUACACAGACCCACACAGGUUAACACUAGUGACCUAGGCUACAACAGGGACUUUUCAGGUUCUCAUUAGAUUUCAAAAAGGCUUUAUAAAGCAGACAUAAAGUCUUCAUAACCACACCAUGCUUCACAAAUCAUUUGUAUGAAGAUGCAGUAGUAUGAACAGCUG